This 253-nucleotide ribosomal RNA is filed under the name uncultured bacterium. Its description in RNAcentral is "partial 16S ribosomal RNA". It matches the Rfam family "Bacterial small subunit ribosomal RNA", at positions 524 to 776 of the family's 1533-position model. The record is from RNAcentral.
UACGUAGGUGGCAAGCGUUGUCCGGAUUUACUGGGCGUAAAGAGCGCGCAGGCGGUCGAUUUAGUCGUGUGUGAAAGCCCCCGGCUCAACUGGGGAGGGUCACGCGAUACUGAUCGACUCGAAGGCAGGAGAGGGUAGUGGAAUUCCCGGUGUAGUGGUGAAAUGCGUAGAUAUCGGGAGGAACACCAGUGGCGAAGGCGACUACCUGGCCUGUUCUUGACGCUGAGGCGCGAAAGCUAGGGGAGCGAACGGG